CAGCAGCCGCGGUAAUACGAAGGGUGCAAGCGUUACUCGGAAUUACUGGGCGUAAAGCGUGCGUAGGUGGUUGUUUAAGUCUGCUGUGAAAGCCCUGGGCUCAACCUGGGAAUUGCAGUGGAUACUGGGCGACUAGAGUAAGGUAGAGGAUAGUGGAAUUUCCGGUGUAGCAGUGAAAUGUGUAGAGAUCGGAAGGAACAUCUGUGGCGAAGGCGACUAUCUGGGCCAUUACUGACACUGAGGCACGAAAGCGUGGGGAGCAAACAGGAUUAGAUACCCCCGUAGUCCCUGUCUCUUAUAC
RNAcentral lists this ribosomal RNA (301 nucleotides) under uncultured bacterium. RNAcentral's name for it is "partial 16S ribosomal RNA". It matches the Rfam family "Bacterial small subunit ribosomal RNA", at positions 509 to 807 of the family's 1533-position model. The record is from RNAcentral.